UACGGGGGGGGCAAGCGUUGUUCGGAAUUACUGGGCGUAAAGGGCUUGUAGGUGGCCAACUAAGUCAGACGUGAAAUCCCUCGGCUUAACCGGGGAACUGCGUCUGAUACUGGAUGGCUAGAGUUUGGGAGAGGGAUGCGGAAUUCCAGGUGUAGCGGUGAAAUGCGUAGAUAUCUGGAGGAACACCGGUGGCGAAGACGGCAUCCUGGACCAAUACUGACACUGAAAAGCGAAAGCCAGGGGAGCAAACGGG
This 253-nucleotide ribosomal RNA is filed under the name uncultured bacterium. Its description in RNAcentral is "partial 16S ribosomal RNA". It matches the Rfam family "Bacterial small subunit ribosomal RNA", at positions 524 to 776 of the family's 1533-position model. The record is from RNAcentral.